RNAcentral lists this long non-coding RNA (1439 nucleotides) under Homo sapiens (human). Its description in RNAcentral is "non-protein coding lnc-BRD1-22:3". The record is from RNAcentral. Lineage: Eukaryota; Metazoa; Chordata; Mammalia; Primates; Hominidae.
AAAUACUCUCAUCCUGGACCCUGCAAUCUAAAGAUGAUUUUCUUGCAGAGGCUGAGUGAGCUGGCUCUGACCCACCAGAUGUACCGGGCCCUGAGCUGGACCCUGGUGUCCAGAAGUGGACACAGCCCCUGUGGGGCUCCAGCCUGUGGGGUUGGGGGGUGAUGAGGGACUCCUUCAAGAACGGAUGCAGUGCCUGGCAGGGCUGCAGGCUGCUGCCCACAGAGGGGCCUUUGCAGCUGUCCCUGAUGAAGUUGCCUGGGCACACCAGAGUGUGGGAGAGUGGACGGCGCGGCCCCUCCUGCACUUGGAGCUGCUCUCAGAUCUUGGGCUGUGACCCCUGUGGGUGACACGAAGUUCAGUGAUUGUCCUCCUUCUGGACUGAGGGACAUCCAUCCACACGCGCCCCCUCCACAGCCCGAUCCCAUCACGUCCUGCUCGUCCAACAUGGGCCUUAGAUCCUGGGGUCUCUGCUGAGUGCCUCCCCUCUGAACGCCCGGCUGGCACUUUCACGGUGAAGCCAGCUGUCAUGGACACCGACGGCAGGUGGCCUUUCUGCGUUGUCUACCGGCUGAUCUUGAAAGUGAAAACGGACAUUGUCUGCCCUGUGGUGACCGUGUUGGGUGAUGGUCCUGGGGUCAGGCCCUGCAUGCACCUUCACCCAGGGAUGGCUUCUUAGCUGACAGCGGCUCUGCCAGGAACCACGAUCACCCUCCAGUUUGCUCUUUGUGCUGAAUUUUAUUGACAUGAAAUUCGCAUGACGCCAACUUUAUCGUUUUAAAGUGAAUGGUUAAACAGAAUGCGGCACUUUCACAGGGCGGCAUGACCCCCACCUCUGUCUGCCUUCAGAACAUUUUCAUCCCCCACGAAAGGAGGAAGCGCAGUCCCCAGGAACAGUUACUCCUCAUUUCCCCUCCCCAGCUCUGGCUUCCGCAACCACGAAUCUGCUUUCUGUCUCCGUGAAUUUGCCUCUUUCGGAUAUAUUUCACGUAAAUGGAGUCCCGUGAUAGAUGAGCUGUGUCUGCCUCUUGCGGGCAGCACAGUGUCUGGAAGGUUCUCCGUGCAGCCGCAGGGGUUGGCGCUUCCUUCCUCCCGAGGCUGACCCGGCCCCGUCGUACGGGGAGUCCACUGUGUGUCUGUCUUUUGGCUGCUGUGAGCCUGGGUGUGCCGCCUGCUCCAGCCCAUGUUUUCAGCUCUUUCAGGUGUGGAGGGAGGAGUGGAAUUGUGGGAUCAUAUUGUAACUUUAACUUUGGAAGGAUCUGCCAAAUUACCCCUCUAAUUUGUUUUCAAUUUUAUUCUUAUUUCCCUGUCACUUGUUCUUUCUUUUGACUGGUUAAAAAAAAUGGCAAAGGUCUUCAGCAAAACAAGAAGUGAGUUUCAAUUGAACCGUGAAUUAAAUAUGAUACACUCAAAAUCUGACCAAUAAUACAUUUUAAUUUUCC